AGCAGCAUGGCGCAGUGGUAGCGCGCGGGGCCCAUAUACAAUGUCUAUGCAACUGUCCAUGGAACCCCGAGGUCACUUGAUCGAAACAAGUUGCUGCUA
Marasmius tenuissimus is the source of this 99-nucleotide non-coding RNA. NCBI's taxonomy places the organism in Eukaryota, Fungi, Basidiomycota, Agaricomycetes, Agaricales, Marasmiaceae. The record is from the annotation of a GenBank genome assembly.